This is a long non-coding RNA of Equus caballus (horse), 1584 nucleotides long. The record is from Ensembl. Lineage: Eukaryota; Metazoa; Chordata; Mammalia; Perissodactyla; Equidae.
CUGCCUCUCUCUCUUCCUUCUCCUCCUUGUUCCUCCACAUGUAUUUGUAAUGAAGAAAGUGAGGCAAAAUUGGCAUUUGUGGGUCUACGUAGUGAAAUGAGACCAAGAAUGCUUUGACCCCCUGAGUCAGUCAAAGUGCUUAGUGCUGGAAGAUAUUGUGGAGGGAUUCUCUUCUGUACACUUCAAGAUGGAGAACAAAAAUAAGCCUAAAGCCUGAACGCUAUUCCAGCCCUCUGUACAGCCUGAGCAGAAGUCCAUUUGCUGCUGUGCCAGAGAAAACUUCUCAACGGUCUUCUGCUGACAGACAUGGGUCACAGUCAACGUGAAUUAAAUACGACAGUACUUUGUGCCAUUAUUACACACAGUGAGGAUGGAGCGCUGUGAGAAAUCCAAGAGAGAUGACUCAAGUUCAGCAGUGCAGGAAGAUUUCUGUGUUGUUUGAGGGCAUUUAGGAUGAAGAAGAAAGAGAGAAAGAGAGGAAAGGAGGAAGAAAGAAAGAAAAAGAAAUUCCUCUUGUCCAGUUUUGGACUCUAAGCUUCCAUUUUGCCACCUCUGAUCAGAGAAUAGAGGCUACAAAGUUGGAUCUUCAGCCUGCUACAUCUAUUUGCUGAUUAUUUGCUCUAACACCCAAACAAAAGCCUAUCCAUCAAGAGGCAAGAAGCAAUCAGCAGUCCAAGCAUCCUCAUUGUGUAGAAAGUCCCCUCACUAGAUGUGUGAUGGGUGUCUCAGUAUACUAAACAAGUGACCAGGCCUCCCAUGGACUCUAGGUGCCUCUCCACGGAAAUUCUCUCUCUCAUAUGUUUCAUUUACUCCUGAGAGUGCUCCUCUUCGUGCAUUCGUUCCCUUUCCUAUAUCUAUGUCUAUAUUUAUAUCUAUAUCUUAUAAACAAAAGGAUUUACCAUACUUUCAGCCCCAGGCCUCCACUGCAGCAUCCUUUGUAGUUAUCUAGACGCAAAGCUGAAAGUUAACUAGUUUAUGCUUUAGGUUUCAGUAAAAAUAAUGAGCAGAUAUAUUUUGAGAUUUUCUGAAAGAAUUUUAAAAUGUAUUUUCCUGACUAUUCUAAUUAUAGGUCACAACUGUAACUAACAUGCAAUUUGGUCAAGCUGUCGUAUUAUGGGAGCACGAUUCUCUCUAUGUUGUCCAUAUGUAUUGACAUAAAGCUUUUGGGAGGAAUGUGAAGAAAGGUAAUUGUGGCAGUACAAAGUAGAGAUCAAUUAUUUAUAUUACUUUGGGCAGAAGCGGGUCAGAUAUGACUUAGACUCAUUAUUUUCCUUAUUCCCUCAGGCCCCCACCAGUAAGUAUUUAUUGAUUCAUUCUCAGCAUGUGUGACUUUCCCUAAACUCUGCAUACAUGUUUUCAAGUUACAGAUGCUUCAUUUAGUUACUUGCUCAAUUAUUCACCUUAAGAAAAUCCAGUUUAUGCAAAAGUAUAUCUACAAAACAAGCAAAUCAAAGAAUUCAUCUCCCAAGACUUUCUGAACUAUAAAAUUAAGCCUUGAUUAUAAAAUUAAAAAUUACAAAAUUAAAAAAUAAAUCAUUAUGAAAUUAAUCCUUAAUGUUCUAAUGCAUCAUUGUAUAUAAUAAA